Molecule: ribosomal RNA, 301 nt
Filed under: uncultured bacterium
Lineage: Bacteria
Description: partial 16S ribosomal RNA
Rfam family: Bacterial small subunit ribosomal RNA
Source: RNAcentral
CAGUCGCCGCGGUAAUACGAAGGGGGCUAGCGUUGUUCGGAAUUACUGGGCGUAAAGCGCACGUAGGCGGAUUGUUAAGUCGGGGGUGAAAUCCUGAGGCUCAACCUCAGAACUGCCUUCGAUACUGGCGAUCUUGAGUUCGGAAGAGGUUGGUGGAACAGCUAGUGUAGAGGUGAAAUUCGUAGAUAUUAGCUAGAACACCAGUGGCGGAGGCGGCCAACUGGUCCGACACUGACGCUGAGGUGCGAAAGCGUGGGGAGCAAACAGGAUUAGAUACCCCCGUAGUCCCUGUCUCUUAUAC